RNAcentral lists this ribosomal RNA (687 nucleotides) under Lactobacillus sp. JCM 2761. Its description in RNAcentral is "bacterial SSU rRNA". It matches the Rfam family "Bacterial small subunit ribosomal RNA", at positions 59 to 703 of the family's 1533-position model. The record is from RNAcentral. Lineage: Bacteria; Bacillati; Bacillota; Bacilli; Lactobacillales; Lactobacillaceae.
AAGUCGAACGCGUCCCGGUUGAUGAAGUUGAGUGCUUGCACUUGAUUGAUUCAACUUGGUGACGAGUGGCGAACUGGUGAGUAACACGUGGGUAACCUGCCCCGAAGCGGGGGAUAACAUUUGGAAACAGGUGCUAAUACCGCAUAACAACCAAAACCACCUGGUUUUGGUUUGAAAGACGGCUUCGGCUGUCACUUUGGGAUGGACCCGCGGCGUAUUAGCUAGUUGGUGAGGUAACGGCUCACCAAGGCGAUGAUACGUAGCCGACCUGAGAGGGUAAUCGGCCACAUUGGGACUGAGACACGGCCCAAACUCCUACGGGAGGCAGCAGUAGGGAAUCUUCCACAAUGGACGCAAGUCUGAUGGAGCAACGCCGCGUGAGUGAUGAAGGGUUUCGGCUCGUAAAACUCUGUUGUUGGAGAAGAACGGGUGUCAGAGUAACUGUUGACAUCGUGACGGUAUCCAACCAGAAAGCCACGGCUAACUACGUGCCAGCAGCCGCGGUAAUACGUAGGUGGCAAGCGUUGUCCGGAUUUAUUGGGCGUAAAGCGAGCGCAGGCGGUUUUUUAGGUCUGAUGUGAAAGCCUUCGGCUUAACCGGAGAAGUGCAUCGGAAACCGGGAGACUUGAGUGCAGAAGAGGACAGUGGAACUCCAUGUGUAGCGGUGAAAUGCGUAGAUAUAUGGAA